RNAcentral lists this signal recognition particle RNA (278 nucleotides) under Acidimicrobiia bacterium. RNAcentral describes it as "signal recognition particle sRNA large type". It matches the Rfam family "Bacterial large signal recognition particle RNA". Rfam says of the family: The signal recognition particle (SRP) is a universally conserved ribonucleoprotein involved in the co-translational targeting of proteins to membranes. Lineage: Bacteria; Bacillati; Actinomycetota; Acidimicrobiia. The record is from RNAcentral.
UCGUGCUAGGUGGGGCGCUAGGGGUGCCCUGUAUCCGAAACCCUCUUCAUGCGGAGCCGAGUUCCCCGUCCGAGGGAUUGAUGACAUCGGGGGCGUUUAGCCCUGAUGCCGGGAAAGCGAUGUUGACGAUCGGGUCCUGCGCGGCGGAACCCCAUAAACCGGGUCAGGUCCGGAAGGAAGCAGCCCCAAGUGGAUCGUUCCGGGUGCCGCAGGGUCACCUGGUCUGAGUUGGCGCCCGGUAUCAACGGUGUUCGUUCGUUUCGAAGACGGGGGCACGA